This 429-nucleotide ribosomal RNA is filed under the name Gemmatimonadota bacterium. RNAcentral describes it as "Gemmatimonadetes bacterium partial 16S ribosomal RNA". It matches the Rfam family "Bacterial small subunit ribosomal RNA", at positions 355 to 776 of the family's 1533-position model. The record is from RNAcentral. Lineage: Bacteria; Pseudomonadati; Gemmatimonadota.
UAGGGAAUCUUCGGCAAUGGACGAAAGUCUGACCGAGCAACGCCGCGUGAGUGAAGAAGGUUUUCGGAUCGUAAAACUCUGUUGUUAGAGAAGAACAAGGACGUUAGUAACUGAACGUCCCCUGACGGUAUCUAACCAGAAAGCCACGGCUAACUACGUGCCAGCAGCCGCGGUAAUACGUAGGUGGCAAGCGUUGUCCGGAUUUAUUGGGCGUAAAGCGAGCGCAGGCGGUUUCUUAAGUCUGAUGUGAAAGCCCCCGGCUCAACCGGGGAGUGUCAUUGGAAACUGGGAGACUUGAGUGCAGAAGAGGAGAGUGGAAUUCCAUGUGUAGCGGUGAAAUGCGUAGAUAUAUGGAGGAACACCAGUGGCGAAGGCGGCUCUCUGGUCUGUAACUGACGCUGAGGCUCGAAAGCGUGGGGAGCAAACAGG